This 405-nucleotide unclassified non-coding RNA is filed under the name soil metagenome. Its description in RNAcentral is "partial contains 5.8S ribosomal RNA, internal transcribed spacer 2, and large subunit ribosomal RNA". The stretch from base 1 to 121 matches the Rfam family "5.8S ribosomal RNA", at positions 35 to 154 of the family's 154-position model. The record is from RNAcentral.
GAUGAAGAACGUAGCGAAAUGCGAUAAGUAAUGUGAAUUGCAGAAUUCAGUGAAUCAUCGAAUCUUUGAACGCACCUUGCGCCCUUUGGCCAUUCCGAAGGGCAUGCCUGUUUGAGUAUCAUGAACACCUCAACUCUUUAUGGUUUUCCAUGAUGAGCUUGGACUCUGGGGGUUUUGCUGGCUCACAGUCGGCUCCUCUAAAAUGAAUCAGCUUACCAGUGUUUGGUGGGUAUCAUGGGUGUGAUAACUAUCUACGCUUGUGGUUUUUCCACCAGGUAACCUUCAGCAGUGGAGGUUCGCUGGAGCUCAUAGAUGUCUCUCCUCAGUGAGGACAGCCCUUUGAAUGUUUGAUCUCAAAUCAGGCAGGACUACCCGCUGAACUUAAGCAUAUCAAUAAGCGGAGGA